Molecule: ribosomal RNA, 253 nt
Filed under: uncultured bacterium
Lineage: Bacteria
Description: partial 16S ribosomal RNA
Rfam family: Bacterial small subunit ribosomal RNA
Source: RNAcentral
UACAGAGGUCUCAACCGUUGUUCGGAUUCAUUGGGCGUAAAGGGUGCGUAGGCGGCGGGGUAAGUCAGGUGUGAAAUCUCGGGGCUCAACCCCGAAACUGCACUUGAUACUGCCUCGCUUGAGUACUGGAGAGGAGACUGGAAUUUACGGUGUAGCAGUGAAAUGCGUAGAUAUCGUAAGGAAGACCAGUGGCGAAGGCGAGUCUCUGGACAGUUACUGACGCUGAGGCACGAGGGCCAGGGGAGCAAACGGG